RNAcentral lists this ribosomal RNA (372 nucleotides) under Triticum aestivum (bread wheat). Its description in RNAcentral is "partial small subunit ribosomal RNA". The record is from RNAcentral. Lineage: Eukaryota; Viridiplantae; Streptophyta; Magnoliopsida; Poales; Poaceae.
AUGCGUUUACAAUCUUUAGAUCAUGUUGCUUAUAAUGAAAACCUUAGAAAGAAGGUCCCUACCGAUGUUCUAGUUGAUAGAAUUUCUAAACUUAAUGAUGAUUUUUCUAUUCAAAACAAUGGGUUAGGUUUUUCUCUUGAGCAAAGGAUCAUGACCUUUUUCCAAAAGAAUGUUUAUAAUGAUGAAUUGGUUGUGCAAUAUAAGGGGCCAAAGGAGGAACCCAUACCUCCCGAGCUUGAUCUUGGGGACUUUUGUCCCAUUAAAUUUAGCCCUUUUGAUUACUUUUGUUUGCCACAAAGAAAACUUGCUGCUGAACGUAGGGAAUAUGAGAUGAGUUUUCGUGAUUUGCCUUAUCAUUACGGCAAUACCUAG